UAUGAAGUCAUCAAGCAUAUCAUCAAAGAGAAAUGACAAUUAGUUUGACAAGGGACUUCUCAAAAGUGCACAGUGAAUGCCAGAAAAACAAUGUCUUUCUGGAUGGAAAGGAAAAGGAAAUAACUGCCAGCCUGGAAUUAUGCACGAGACAAAACCGUACUAGAAACAUGAGCAAAACAAGAAUAUUCUCAGACAGAAUGGAAUAUGUAUGUGUCACUACCAACAGACCCUGACAAGAGCAAUUCUCAUAAGGACGCAUUUAAGGAAGGAGGAAAUCUGCCCUAAAGGAAAGGUGUGUGAGGUAACUAUAGAAUAAAUACCCGACCGCUCACCACCCAGUAAAGAGAACAUUACCAGUACCUGGAAACCUCUUGCUUGCUCUUUCCUGAGCACAUAGAUCAGAAGCACGACCUGAGCCUGUUACCAGCCCAUGGGAAUCUCACAUUUCUGCAGUUUUCAUGGUCCUGCCACCACUUAAUAAUCGCCAAGCAACGUACUAAAUGUGAAGCCUUUGCCGUCCAUUUGCAUUUGACGAAACGCAGUCAAGAUACUUCAUGUGAUACUUUCUUAAAAUGCCUCUUUGUCAUUACUUCCUAUUUUUACCAUUUCACUGGCAUGUUUGUAUACAGAACAACUGUUGUCUUAAUAAAUCAUACUAACUCA
Chinchilla lanigera (long-tailed chinchilla) is the source of this 663-nucleotide long non-coding RNA. RefSeq lists it as uncharacterized. The transcript is spliced from 3 exons. The record is from RefSeq and is a predicted model, not a curated record. Lineage: Eukaryota; Metazoa; Chordata; Mammalia; Rodentia; Chinchillidae.